CCUACGGGAGGCAGCAGUGGGGAAUUUUGGACAAUGGGCGAAAGCCUGAUCCAGCAAUGCCGCGUGAGUGAAGAAGGCCUUCGGGUUGUAAAGCUCUUUUGUCAGGGAAGAAACGGUGAGAGCUAAUAUCUCUUGCUAAUGACGGUACCUGAAGAAUAAGCACCGGCUAACUACGUGCCAGCAGCCGCGGUAAUACGUAGGGUGCAAGCGUUAAUCGGAAUUACUGGGCGUAAAGCGUGCGCAGGCGGUUUUGUAAGUCUGUCGUGAAAUCCCCGGGCUCAACCUGGGAAUUGCGAUGGAGACUGCAAGGCUAGAAUCUGGCAGAGGGGGGUAGAAUUCCACGUGUAGCAGUGAAAUGCGUAGAGAUGUGGAGGAACACCGAUGGCGAAGGCAGCCCCCUGGGUCAAGAUUGACGCUCAUGCACGAAAGCGUGGGGAGCAAACAGGAUUAGAUACCCUGGUAGUCCACGCCCUAAACGAUGUCUACUAGUUGUCGGGUUUUAAUUAACUUGGUAACACAGCUAACGCGUGAAGUAGACCGCCUGGGGAGUACGGUCGCAAGNUUAAAACUAAGAAGUAGAGNGNGNGAGNGNGAGAGAGAGAGAGAG
Molecule: ribosomal RNA, 607 nt
Filed under: uncultured bacterium
Lineage: Bacteria
Description: bacterial SSU rRNA
Rfam family: Bacterial small subunit ribosomal RNA
Source: RNAcentral